Molecule: ribosomal RNA, 420 nt
Filed under: Lactobacillus casei group sp.
Lineage: Bacteria; Bacillati; Bacillota; Bacilli; Lactobacillales; Lactobacillaceae
Description: bacterial SSU rRNA
Rfam family: Bacterial small subunit ribosomal RNA
Source: RNAcentral
CAGGUCUUGACAUCUUUUGAUCACCUGAGAGAUCAGGUUUCCCCUUCGGGGGCAAAAUGACAGGUGGUGCAUGGUUGUCGUCAGCUCGUGUCGUGAGAUGUUGGGUUAAGUCCCGCAACGAGCGCAACCCUUAUGACUAGUUGCCAGCAUUUAGUUGGGCACUCUAGUAAGACUGCCGGUGACAAACCGGAGGAAGGUGGGGAUGACGUCAAAUCAUCAUGCCCCUUAUGACCUGGGCUACACACGUGCUACAAUGGAUGGUACAACGAGUUGCGAGACCGCGAGGUCAAGCUAAUCUCUUAAAGCCAUUCUCAGUUCGGACUGUAGGCUGCAACUCGCCUACACGAAGUCGGAAUCGCUAGUAAUCGCGGAUCAGCACGCCGCGGUGAAUACGUUCCCGGGCCUUGUACACACCGCCCG